AGAUGAAAAAGAGGAAGAUUCUGCCAUCUCAUCCGAUAUGUAAUUCAGCGAAUUGAACUUGAGAAGUGCGAGAGAUUUCAGAGAAGGGAGAUGAUCCAACGGUGGUAGAUGCUUACAUUUUGGACAUUUUGACAUCUCAAUAUCGACAAGUUUUGUGAUUGAAGAAAGCCAAUUUGAAAACCUCACACCUCCGUAGCUGCCUCUAUGGUACCCAUUAACAUACAAUUGUUUCAAGUUAGGGUGAGGGUGUAGGUUAUCCAACAACAACUCACUAUUUCCACAAUCACUAUCUCCCGUGUCAUCCCAUUCCAAAUUCAAGGAGUGAAGGUUUUUCUUUUCCAUGAGAUUUGGUUGGUUGGACUCCAACGCAGGGCUUUUGACAUUUCCUAGUGCUUCAAUGGAAAUUCCACCACUAAGCUGGUUUAAGCUAUUCAAUUCGUUCAAUGUGGAACGUCUCCUUCCUCGAUCCCUUCCCACAAUAAAAGUAGACAACCUUUGCAGACUUGUUAAUCUCCCUAAUCCCAAUGGCAUGUAUUUAAGAUCAAAACAUCCAUCAAUUAUAAGUUGCCUAAGACAAAUUAAUUUUCUUACGUCUUUGGGUAAUUCUUUGAGAGAAUGACAAUUUCUGAGCAUUAGAGAUUGUAGAUUAUACAAACUACAAAUACUUUUGGGAAGUGAUUCGACAUUAUAAUUUUCUGAGAUGUCAAGAUACCUCAAGCGCUUCAACUUUCCAAUUGAAUCU
This 742-nucleotide unclassified non-coding RNA is filed under the name Hevea brasiliensis (rubber tree). The record is from RNAcentral. Lineage: Eukaryota; Viridiplantae; Streptophyta; Magnoliopsida; Malpighiales; Euphorbiaceae.